Molecule: transfer-messenger RNA, 391 nt
Filed under: Rhizorhapis suberifaciens (corky root of lettuce)
Lineage: Bacteria; Pseudomonadati; Pseudomonadota; Alphaproteobacteria; Sphingomonadales; Sphingomonadaceae
Rfam family: Alphaproteobacteria transfer-messenger RNA
About the family: Bacterial tmRNA, also known as 10Sa RNA or SsrA, is named for its dual tRNA and mRNA-like properties. Its role is to liberate the mRNA from a stalled ribosome.
Source: RNAcentral
ACACUUUUCAUUCAUUUAAGACGCCCUAUAUAGGGUGGUGCCGGACCUGUCCGGCUAUGGCGAUAAAUUGUGUCGUGUAAUAGGCGCAGCGGACCCGGGGGCAGUACCCGGCGGCUCCACCAGAAAGGGCUUCGUCCCAUAGCGAAGCCCGUCCUGACGGGGCCGAACCAGGAUAGACGUGUGUUGAAAGACGAUAUUUUUGCCCGGCCCGAGUAAGCCGUAAAACUGUUCAAAACCUACAAGUGCCAACGAUAACGAGGCUCUUGCUCUUGCUGCGUAAUUGAUGGGCUCACGCCCUGACAUUACCCAAAAAGAACGCGGUUGGACCCACCGGGCAACAGAAGCGGAUUCCAGCGGUUUGGGGAGCACCGGGCAACAGAAGCUCCCCGCC